RNAcentral lists this unclassified non-coding RNA (372 nucleotides) under uncultured fungus. RNAcentral's name for it is "partial contains 5.8S ribosomal RNA, internal transcribed spacer 2, and large subunit ribosomal RNA". The record is from RNAcentral. Lineage: Eukaryota; Fungi.
AACGCAUAUUGCGCUGGAGGCUUCGGCCAACAGCAUGUCUGCCUCAGCGUCGGGUUAAUAUCACCACCUAACUACACAUUGUGUGGUUAGCUGUCGGUGGAUCUGGCCGUUCCAGCGAAAGGCGGUAUAUAUAGCCUAUGGCUAUAAAUGCCAGUAGUCCUGCUGGAUCAGCUGAAGUUCAGAGGCUAACUAAGGACCCGUAUAUAUGGGCCGCAACUGGGUAGGUGGUGGCUAUCUCUUUGGGAUGGCUGUCAACAAACGCUUAGUUGUUGGUCUGGGGACUUAUUCGUUGGGCCCUCAACCAGGAAAUGUUAACUCACAUCUUAUUAUUAUCUCGACCUGAGCUCAGGCAAGAACACCCGCUGAACUUAA